This 253-nucleotide ribosomal RNA is filed under the name uncultured bacterium. Its description in RNAcentral is "partial 16S ribosomal RNA". It matches the Rfam family "Bacterial small subunit ribosomal RNA", at positions 524 to 776 of the family's 1533-position model. The record is from RNAcentral.
UACGUAGGGUGCAAGCGUUAUCCGGAAUUAUUGGGCGUAAAGAGCUCGUAGGCGGUUUGUCGCGUCUGCUGUGAAAACCGGAGGCUCAACCUCCGGCCUGCAGUGGGUACGGGCAAACUAGAGUGCGGUAGGGGAGAUUGGAAUUCCUGGUGUAGCAGUGGAAUGCGCAGAUAUCAGGAGGAACACCGAUGGCGAAGGCAGAUCUCUGGGCCGUAACUGACGCUGAGGAGCGAAAGCGUGGGGAGCGAACAGG